ACAGUAAUGAAAUACAUGGCAAAAGUCAUUGCAACUUGUCCACACUGCAAACAUAUUUCAAAACAUAUUUACGAAGAAGUCAUGCACAUUGCUUUGAAACAGUGUCCAAGGAAACAUUUUUGGCAUGUGAGUUCAUUGAUGUGAGAAAUGGUGUGUUUGCAGUCAAAUACAUUUUCUGGUCCAGCAAAACCCAUACAUGUUCCAACUUGGUUCAAAACUGUUAUGAAUGCUGGAGUAUUAAAACGCUGUUGAAUUUGACUUUUUCUUUACUUUCACAUACUGUGUGUACAUAAGCAUUGCUCGGAUCUUGUCCCCUGGACCUUGGGGGACUUUUGUGGAUGAUGUUCAGGUUAGACAUUCCUUUAAAUUAUUCCACUGAACUGUAAUAUUUGAUUUACAUUCCUUUAUUGAAACUUGUACCUUGUUCACACCACAGGGCCUACACUAAACUUUGUACAUUGCAAUGGAAGCACAGUGUGAUUUCACUGAGGUAUAUAUAAAUUAUGAAUUUCUCAUCACUAGUGGAUAUGUGUUUUGGAAUCCCCAUCCGAUUUUGUGAUUUUCUUUUUCAAAGGAAAACAUGAAGCAAAUUAGGCGAUGGUGGUGACUAGUUCUCCUGCAGAACUUUCCCAUGCCAUAAGUCUAAUUCUCCUGCAGAACUUUCCCAUGCCAUAAGUCUAGUUCUCCUGCAGAACUUUCCCAUGCCAUAAGUCUUGAACAUUAUAAAAACUUUUCAUUUGCAUCCUUUAAAUCACUUGUUUCACUGUAGCCAGAAUGACCUGAAUAUAUUUUCGUAUGUAUGUCAUUCACUCACUAAGGUCUGAAGAAGAGAGGUUGAAAGAUCGAAAAAGCCAGCGAAAACAAAACACACUACAGGGAGGUGUCAUUAGUGGUAUAGUCUUAAACCAAUGUUUAAAGAAGUCACAGAGCAUCCAGCUCUGCAGGAUCAGGUACUGUAUAGGCUAUUAGCUAAAGUAAGGUGCAUUCUUAUUUAACCUUUAUUUAACUAGGCAAGUGAGUUAAGAACAAAUUCUUAUUUACAAUGACAGCCUAGGAACAGUGGGUGAACUGCCUUGUUCAGGGGCAGAACGACAUUUUUACCUUGUCAGCUCAGUGAUUUUUAUCCAGCAACCUUCCGGUUACUGGCCCAACACUCUGACCACCAAUAGACCACUGUCUAUUUUCUUUCUAGAUGAUACUGAAAACAAAAUGCACAACGAACUGGGAGCUGUGACCUGGGAAGCAGAUGUUCUUCUAAGGGACACCCUAGAGGCAGCAAGGUGAUGUGAACUCCAAACAUUUAAAGGCACUGUUCCCCUCUCUAGUGUAAUUGGGAUGGACGGGGAAGACCACAAUACAACCCUUAAAGAACUACAGUUGUAUGAUGGCCUGGAUGAAGAGAGAAAUGUUCUCCUCAAGGAACCAUUCAUGUUACAGAGAGAUUAUAAGUUGUUCUAUUUGGAGGCAGUUGACAACAAGAAAAUGACUGUCUUUGUCUCUUUAGAGGAGCAGGAGUGAAGUGGUCAAAUCUUAUUUUGUCUGCUGUGUUAAUUGUUUCAAUUGUUAAUUGUGUUAUGUUUAGUAAAGAUGACGUAGAAGUCA
Long non-coding RNA from Oncorhynchus kisutch (coho salmon), 1602 nucleotides. RefSeq lists it as uncharacterized. Lineage: Eukaryota; Metazoa; Chordata; Actinopteri; Salmoniformes; Salmonidae. The record is from RefSeq and is a predicted model, not a curated record. The transcript is spliced from 2 exons.